This 716-nucleotide small RNA is filed under the name Histoplasma ohiense. RNAcentral's name for it is "hypothetical lncRNA". Lineage: Eukaryota; Fungi; Ascomycota; Eurotiomycetes; Onygenales; Ajellomycetaceae. The record is from RNAcentral.
GCCGUUAAAAGCAGACAUUCGAACUUCACCCUGCUGCCUUUCUUUGCGAUACUCUCAACUACAUACGUCUAAAGGACUUAUCCAAUAAAACAUGCCACCGAACCCUCUUUGUGGGAAAUUGAGCUCCCUUGCCGAAAAAGCGAGCUUGGCAGCUGAGAAAUUUGAAAGCGACCACGAUUUUACCAGUGGACCAAUAUGAAAUUUUGGAGGCUCUGACCUCGAAGUUAUUCGAGGCUAUCGCUGAAAGGGGCGAGCAGGAGAUGGAGGCAACAUCAGACCCAGAAGUACGGAGUACAUACUCUUUAGACCUAUUUGACGUUCCCUAGUACUAAUGCAGGUGGCGCGUUGGCUCAAUUCGAACAUGGUGCUCAAGUAUCUAAGACUUCUCCGCUGUUCCAAUAACUGGCCUACCAGUGGAUAGCUCACAGGCAUCUAUUGCUACCCUUUUGUCUAUCAUAGGCAUAAAACUCACGCCAGAUUGCGUGCACAUACCCCCGCACAAAAGCGUACUCCAGAUAUCAGCGGGUAUCAAGGUUGAAGAUCCCACGUUUGCGAAGUUAUUAUGCACCAAAAUCGGUAUGUAAAACAUCUCGGGGACCGUAUUCAAGCAGCUACAAGCAGCUCAAAUCCCAGUCCGCCUUUCUUCAGACCCAAAUACCCGUCGAGUUGAAUGCAGGAAAGUCCAAUUGUAGUUCUCAGAAUGCCCCUUAAUCCUG